RNAcentral lists this ribosomal RNA (503 nucleotides) under uncultured bacterium. RNAcentral describes it as "bacterial SSU rRNA". It matches the Rfam family "Bacterial small subunit ribosomal RNA", at positions 903 to 1397 of the family's 1533-position model. The record is from RNAcentral.
AAAGGAAUUGACGGGGGCUCACACAAGCGGUGGAGCAUGUGGCUUAAUUCGAAGCAACGCGAAGAACCUUAUCCUGGGUUUGACAUGCAUGGAUGCCCAUCCUGAAAGGGAGUAGGCUGCCUUCGGGUGAAACUUGCACAGGUGCUGCAUGGCUGUCGUCAGCUCGUGUCGUGAGAUGUCGGGUUAAGUCCCUUAACGAGCGAAACCCUUAUCGUUAGUUGCCAGCGGGUCAAGCCGGGAACUCUAACGAGACUGCCGGUGUUAAACCGGAGGAAGGUGGGGAUGACGUCAAGUCCUCAUGGCCUUUAUGCCCAGGGCUGCACACGUGCUACAAUGGCGUUUAAUAAACCGAUGCAAGACCGCGAGGUGGAGCAAAUCGGAUAAACAACGCCUCAGUUCGGAUUGUAGGCUGCAAUUCGCCUACAUGAAGUUGGAAUCGCUAGUAAUCGCGGAUCAGCUAUGCCGCGGUGAAUAUGUUCCUGAGCCUUGUACACACCGCCCGU